CCUACGGGAGGCAGCAGUGGGGAAUUUUGCGCAAUGGGGGAAACCCUGACGCAGCAACGCCGCGUGGAGGAUGAAGUCUCUUGGGACGUAAACUCCUUUCGAUAGGGACGAUAAUGACGGUACCUAUAGAAGAAGCCCCGGCUCACUUCGUGCCAGCAGCCGCGGUAAU
RNAcentral lists this ribosomal RNA (169 nucleotides) under uncultured bacterium. RNAcentral describes it as "partial 16S ribosomal RNA". It matches the Rfam family "Bacterial small subunit ribosomal RNA", at positions 338 to 524 of the family's 1533-position model. The record is from RNAcentral.